This 305-nucleotide ribosomal RNA is filed under the name uncultured bacterium. RNAcentral describes it as "bacterial SSU rRNA". It matches the Rfam family "Bacterial small subunit ribosomal RNA", at positions 336 to 637 of the family's 1533-position model. The record is from RNAcentral.
UUCCUACGGGGCGCAGCAGUGAGGAAUAUUGGUCAAUGGGCGGAAGCCUGAACCAGCCAAGUCGCGUGAGGGAAGAAGGCCCUGCGGGUCGCAGACCUCUUUGGACGGGGAGCAAGGCCGCCGACGUGUCGGCGGAAGGAGAGUACCCGUAGAACAAGCAUCGGCUAACUCCGUGCCAGCAGCCGCGGUAAUACGGAGGAUGCGAGCGUUAUCCGGAUUUAUUGGGCGUAAAGGGCUCGUAGGCGGUUCGUCGCGUCCGGUGUGAAAGUCCAUCGCCUACCGGUGGAUCCGCGCCGGGUACGGGG